Onychostoma macrolepis is the source of this 673-nucleotide long non-coding RNA. RefSeq lists it as uncharacterized. NCBI's taxonomy places the organism in Eukaryota, Metazoa, Chordata, Actinopteri, Cypriniformes, Cyprinidae. The transcript is spliced from 5 exons. The record is from RefSeq and is a predicted model, not a curated record.
CAUGCAAAACUGAGAUAUUUUAAGAUGUUUUAACUUGUUAACAGCAAACUAAUAUUAUUUAUGGUGUGGUUUUUCAUGUCCUGAGUUGGGGCCUUUUUUUCUGACUGACGGUAACGGUGAUAACAUCGACUGUUUCUAGUCUAGAUUUCGUCGACAAUGUCGGAGGUGUAUUUUGGAGCCUCUUCUUGUGAAUGCCAUAGUAUCGAUGAUACAUCAACUGUUUGUGAUCUUGUGGUCAUGUCGUCUGCAUUGGAGGAGUAAUGGAGUCUUUUCCUGUGAUUGUCGUCGUAACAACAGGAGAUUUCUCCAAGCAAAAACAGGAUCCUGAAUAUGAGGGCAGAAUCAUCAUACAGCCAGCUGUCCGUUUUACAGAAAUGCAGAAUUAGGUUCAUUCAGAUCUUUGUGGCACCAAAUGCAUUGAAAGUCACAGGUCAGCUGGAAUUCUGGAAAGAGGGUGCAAAGAAAAAGGAUCUGCCUGAAUCCCAUCCUGCUGUUUCUCAUCGGAGAGCUUGUCAACUUUGACUGUCAAAAUUACUGAAAUUUAACACAACACAAACUCAUUUUUACUGUUACUAUUAUUUGAUUUUUAUUAACACUACCAGUCAAAAGUUUUUGAACAGUAAGAUUUUUAAUGUUUUUAAAGAAGCCUCUUCUGCUCACCAAGCCUGCAUUU